AUUGAACGCUGGCGGCAUGCCUUACACAUGCAAGUCGAACGGCAGCACGGGAGCAAUCCUGGUGGCGAGUGGCGAACGGGUGAGUAAUACAUCGGAACGUGCCCAAUCGUGGGGGAUAACGCAGCGAAAGCUGUGCUAAUACCGCAUACGAUCUACGGAUGAAAGCAGGGGAUCGCAAGACCUUGCGCGAAUGGAGCGGCCGAUGGCAGAUUAGGUAGUUGGUGAGGUAAAGGCUCACCAAGCCGUCGAUCUGUAGCUGGUCUGAGAGGACGACCAGCCACACUGGGACUGAGACACGGCCCAGACUCCUACGGGAGGCAGCAGUGGGGAAUUUUGGACAAUGGGCGAAAGCCUGAUCCAGCCAUGCCGCGUGCAGGAUGAAGGCCUUCGGGUUGUAAACUGCUUUUGUACGGAACGAAACGGCCUUUUCUAAUAAAGAGGGCUAAUGACGGUACCGUAAGAAUAAGCACCGGCUAACUACGUGCCAGCAGCCGCGGUAAUACGUAGGGUGCAAGCGUUAAUCGGAAUUACUGGGCGUAAAGCGUGCGCAGGCGGUUAUGUAAGACAGUUGUGAAAUCCCCGGGCUCAACCUGGGAACUGCAUCUGUGACUGCAUAGCUAGAGUACGGUAGAGGGGGAUGGAAUUCCGCGUGUAGCAGUGAAAUGCGUAGAUAUGCGGGGGAACACCGAUGGCGAAGGCAAUCCCCUGGACCUGUACUGACGCUCAUGCACGAAAGCGUGGGGAGCAAACAGG
RNAcentral lists this ribosomal RNA (753 nucleotides) under uncultured Comamonadaceae bacterium. RNAcentral's name for it is "bacterial SSU rRNA". It matches the Rfam family "Bacterial small subunit ribosomal RNA", at positions 28 to 776 of the family's 1533-position model. The record is from RNAcentral. Lineage: Bacteria; Pseudomonadati; Pseudomonadota; Betaproteobacteria; Burkholderiales; Comamonadaceae.